GAUGAACGCUGGCGGCGUGCCUAAUACAUGCAAGUCGAGCGAACAGACGAGGAGCUUGCUCCUCUGACGUUAGCGGCGGACGGGUGAGUAACACGUGGAUAACCUACCUAUAAGACUGGGAUAACUUCGGGAAACCGGAGCUAAUACCGGAUAAUAUAUUGAACCGCAUGGUUCAAUAGUGAAAGACGGUUUUGCUGUCACUUAUAGAUGGAUCCGCGCCGCAUUAGCUAGUUGGUAAGGUAACGGCUUACCAAGGCAACGAUGCGUAGCCGACCCGAGAGGGUGAUCGGCCACACUGGAACUGAGACGCGGUCCUGGCUCCUACGGGAGGCACCAGUAGGGUAUCUUCCGCAAUGGGCGAAAGCAUGACGGAGCAACGCCGCGUGAGUUAUGAAGGUCUUCGGAUCGUAAAGCUCUGUUAUUAGGGAAGAACAAAUGUCUAAGUAACUAUGCACGUCUUGACGGUACCUAAUCAGAAAGCCACGGCUAACUACGUG
Molecule: ribosomal RNA, 497 nt
Filed under: uncultured bacterium
Lineage: Bacteria
Description: partial 16S ribosomal RNA
Rfam family: Bacterial small subunit ribosomal RNA
Source: RNAcentral